AACACUCAUCACGAAGAGACGCGACCUGACUUGCCCGGCGGUCAGCUUUAAACUAAAACAGAGCAUGGAAUAUGAUUUGUUUACCAAGAUCUGAUUGCAGCUACUAUAGGCAUUACUUAGAAAAUGACACAUCCUGAUAGACUGGGACUAUAUAACUCUAUUCCUACGAAGCACACAUAUACAUAUAUAUAGAUAAAUUUGUUAUAUAUUUUGCGAUAAAAGUUUCCGAAAUGAAGUUGAAAUGAAUUCCACUUUUCUUGAACAUGAA
Non-coding RNA from Drosophila virilis, 268 nucleotides. Lineage: Eukaryota; Metazoa; Arthropoda; Insecta; Diptera; Drosophilidae. The record is from RefSeq and is a predicted model, not a curated record.